RNAcentral lists this long non-coding RNA (302 nucleotides) under Elaeis guineensis (African oil palm). Its description in RNAcentral is "long non-coding RNA (EGUI_LNC053729)". Lineage: Eukaryota; Viridiplantae; Streptophyta; Magnoliopsida; Arecales; Arecaceae. The record is from RNAcentral.
UGUGUGAUAUAUGGUUGUAGUUUAGAUCUGAAACUGCAUGCAUGUGAGACAUGCUUUAAAUAUAGAUCUUUUAAUACAUAUGUUAGAUAUAUAUUUUGAUUAGUUUUAGAUCUAGAUAUCUAUGCAUAUAUUGAUAUAUAUUUUUGAUUAGUUUUAGAUCUGAAAAUAAUGCAUAUGAUACAUGGUUUGUACACCCAUAGUCUAAAACUUACUUUUUAGUCAGACCCUGGAUCUAAAAUCGUAGGAUCUUUAUAUUUUGUUGCAUGAUAAAGUUGUUUUGAUUUAAAAAUUAUUUUUCAUCU